RNAcentral lists this ribosomal RNA (301 nucleotides) under uncultured bacterium. Its description in RNAcentral is "partial 16S ribosomal RNA". It matches the Rfam family "Bacterial small subunit ribosomal RNA", at positions 509 to 809 of the family's 1533-position model. The record is from RNAcentral.
CAGUCGCCGCGGUAAUACGAAGGGGGCUAGCGUUGCUCGGAAUGACUGGGCGUAAAGGGCGCGUAGGCGGUUUGUACAGUUGGGUGUGAAAUUCCUGGGCUUAACCUGGGGGCUGCAUCCAAAACUGGCAAGCUAGAGUAUGGUAGAGGGUGGUGGAAUUUCCUGUGUAGCGGUGAAAUGCGUAGAUAUAGGAAGGAACACCAGUGGCGAAGGCGACCACCUGGACUGAUACUGACACUGAGGUGCGAAAGCGUGGGGAGCAAACAGGAUUAGAUACCCGCGUAGUCCCUGUCUCUUAUAA